UAAGCAAAUACAACUACAAACAUUUUAGGAAUAAAGAAAAUUUUUACAGUACACAGUAUUUUAUAAAAAAUACCUCUUAUCCCAUAACCGCAAGGGCCAACAUUUUAGCCUCUUAAAGAAGUGAUAACCUCACAUCCCUUUUGCAUCAUGGAGAAGCAACAAAACCUUAGCAAGCUAAACUCCCGAACGAUUAUGAGCUACUAAUUCUUAAAAAUCAAUGUUUCAUAAUUGAUAAAGUAACCUUUAGUAGAAGUAACAAGCCUUUCAUAUAAUCAUAUAGCUGGUUUUUCUUUAAAAGCAUCAAAGUGCUGUCUUAUAGUACGAGUGUCACACCCCUAAUACUAUAAAGUUUAGCUUACUGAGGAUAAGCUCAGUAAGCACACAAAAAUAUUUCUCUCUUUAACUUUUUAAGUAGGCUUAAAAGCAGCCACCCCAUAACGUUCUAGUUACAACGCUCAAACACUAAAUAUUUAUACACAUUAUUUUAACCCUAAAGAAAUUUAUCACAAAACGCCACAUGUUAGUAAACAGGCAUUCUAUUAGUAUUAACAUAACCACCUUUCAUAGUCUUAAAAUAAAUUUGAGACACAACAUUUUUAUUAUUUAAAACUAUACAAAGCGAACUCGGCAAAUAAAUUCCCUGCCUGUUUACCAAAAACAUCGUCUUUUGAACCUUCCUGAUAAAAGAUAAUGCCUGCCCAGUGAGAUUUUAAACGGCCGCGUUAGCGUGAGCGUGCUAAGGUAGCGUAAUAAUUAGCCUUUUAAUUGGAGGCCAGUGAAAGGCAAGACUAGGAAAAUUGCCAGUGAAAGGCAAGACUAGGAAAAGCUGUACUUUGUAUAUAAAAAGAACUUUUCAUCUAAGUGAAAAGACUUAGAUAACAAAAGAAGACGAAAAGACCCCGCGGAACUUUACCUUUUCUUAUAUUUCCGUCUACGUACUCAAAAACAUAUAAGGUUUGAUUGGGGCAAUCUUGGAACCAAUAAAGCUUCCAUAUCUCCUACAAAAAUUUAUUUAAAAUUCAUUAAGGACUAAAAAGUAGUUACCCCGGGGAUAACAGCGUCAAUCCAACUUAAGAGUACACAUCGAAAGUUGGGUUUGCGACCUCGAUGUUGGCUUAAGGACAUCCACAUAAGUGCAACCGCUAUGACAGGACAGUCUGUUCGACUAUUAUACCCUUACAUGAGCUGAGUUAAGACCGGCGCAAGCUAGGUUGGUUUCUAUCUCCUUUAUUUCAACCCAUUUCUUGAUUGUACGAAAGGACCCCAAGAAAUGCAUUUAACAAAAGCAUUUACUGAACAUUUAUCAUAUCUAACCCUAAUCACUAU
This 1326-nucleotide ribosomal RNA is filed under the name Tchangsinaia piscicula. Its description in RNAcentral is "16S ribosomal RNA". The stretch from base 885 to 1225 matches the Rfam family "Archaeal large subunit ribosomal RNA", at positions 2153 to 2713 of the family's 2987-position model. Lineage: Eukaryota; Metazoa; Mollusca; Bivalvia; Unionida; Unionidae. The record is from RNAcentral.